This 253-nucleotide ribosomal RNA is filed under the name uncultured bacterium. Its description in RNAcentral is "partial 16S ribosomal RNA". It matches the Rfam family "Bacterial small subunit ribosomal RNA", at positions 524 to 776 of the family's 1533-position model. The record is from RNAcentral.
UACGAAGGGGGCUAGCGUUGUUCGGAAUCACUGGGCGUAAAGCGCACGUAGGCGGAUCUUUAAGUCAGGGGUGAAAUCCCGAGGCUCAACCUCGGAACUGCCUUUGAUACUGGGGAUCUCGAGUCCGGAAGAGGUGAGUGGAACUCCGAGUGUAGAGGUGAAAUUCGUAGAUAUUCGCAAGAACACCAGUGGCGAAGGCGGCUCACUGGCCCGGUACUGACGCUGAGGUGCGAAAGCGUGGGGAGCAAACAGG